RNAcentral lists this ribosomal RNA (497 nucleotides) under uncultured bacterium. Its description in RNAcentral is "partial 16S ribosomal RNA". It matches the Rfam family "Bacterial small subunit ribosomal RNA", at positions 28 to 507 of the family's 1533-position model. The record is from RNAcentral.
GAUGAACGCUGGCGGCGUGCCUAAUACAUGCAAGUCGAGCGAACGGACGAGAAGCUUGCUUUUCUGAUGUUAGCGGCGGACGGGUGAGUAACACGUGGAUAACCUACCUAUAAGACUGGGAUAACUUCGGGAAACCGGAGCUAAUACCGGAUAAUAUUUUGAACCGCAUGGUUCAAAAGUGAAAGACGGUCUUGCUGUCACUUAUAGAUGGAUCCGCGCUGCAUUAGCUAGUUGGUAAGGUAACGGCUUACCAAGGCAACGAUGCAUAGCCGACCUGAGAGGGUGAGCGGCCACACUGGAACUGGGACACGGUCCCGACUCCUACGGGAGGCAGCAGUAGGGAAUCUUCCGCAAUGGGCGAAAGCCUGACGGAGCAACGCCGCGUGAGUGAUGAAGGUCUUCGGAUCGUAAAACUCUGUUAUUAGGGAAGAACAUAUGUGUAAGUAACUGUGCACAUCUUGACGGUACCUAAUCAGAAAGCCACGGCUAACUACGUG